GAGUCUGUAACUUAAAGUAAAGUAUCAAUUUGUCACAUUGAAGGAUGCCCUCUCGCUAAGGGUCAGACUCG
RNAcentral lists this transfer RNA (71 nucleotides) under Pneumocystis wakefieldiae. Its description in RNAcentral is "tRNA-Asp". It matches the Rfam family "tRNA". From Rfam's summary of the family: Transfer RNA (tRNA) molecules are approximately 80 nucleotides in length. Their secondary structure includes four short double-helical elements and three loops (D, anti-codon, and T loops). The record is from RNAcentral. Lineage: Eukaryota; Fungi; Ascomycota; Pneumocystomycetes; Pneumocystales; Pneumocystaceae.